This is a long non-coding RNA of Corticium candelabrum, 303 nucleotides long. RefSeq lists it as uncharacterized. The transcript has 3 exons. NCBI's taxonomy places the organism in Eukaryota, Metazoa, Porifera, Homoscleromorpha, Homosclerophorida, Plakinidae. The record is from RefSeq and is a predicted model, not a curated record.
CAGAACCUGUUCACGAAGCGACAGGACUGAGAUGUCUACGACGUACAUUCAGAAAUCUAGUUAGUUAGUUCCAUCGUCAAGUAUACGUCACGCAGGUAGCUUUCAAGUGUUUGGACGCUGUACGAGAUCUCGCAUACAUGCACCGCUGAUUCUAAACCACAACCGUUUUUCUAGACAAAAGUGGCGUCAGAGUGGCUGAGCAAAGAAUUAAUGGAGACAUCAUCGAGCCAUAGCUCGUGAGACUGAAGUCAGUCACCAGUAGUGUCGCCAUUACUUUACAAACAUUCUAAUGAUGUCAAUAAU